UCCCAGGUGGCUCAGUGGUGAAGAAUCUGCCUGCAAUGCAGGAGAUGCAAGUUUGAACCCUGCGUGGGGAA
This 71-nucleotide transfer RNA is filed under the name Bos taurus (domestic cattle). It matches the Rfam family "tRNA". Rfam says of the family: Transfer RNA (tRNA) molecules are approximately 80 nucleotides in length. Their secondary structure includes four short double-helical elements and three loops (D, anti-codon, and T loops). Further hydrogen bonds mediate the characteristic L-shaped molecular structure. tRNAs have two regions of fundamental functional importance: the anti-codon, which is responsible for specific mRNA codon recognition, and the 3' end, to which the tRNAs corresponding amino acid is attached (by aminoacyl-tRNA synthetases). tRNAs cope with the degeneracy of the genetic code in two manners: having more than one tRNA (with a specific anti-codon) for a particular amino acid; and 'wobble' base-pairing, i.e. permitting non-standard base-pairing at the 3rd anti-codon position. RNAcentral also lists the same sequence under 3 other names. The record is from Rfam by way of RNAcentral. Lineage: Eukaryota; Metazoa; Chordata; Mammalia; Artiodactyla; Bovidae.